Long non-coding RNA from Manis javanica (Malayan pangolin), 373 nucleotides. RefSeq lists it as uncharacterized. The record is from RefSeq and is a predicted model, not a curated record. Lineage: Eukaryota; Metazoa; Chordata; Mammalia; Pholidota; Manidae.
CUGGAACUGUGCAGGAGGGCCAGGCCAAUUGCCCAGGAUAUCAGAAAAGGGUUUGCAGAGGACAGGGUAUUUUGAUCUUAAAAAAACAGGUAAUUUGGCUGGGUUAAUGGACCACCUAGGAAGACUAUGGCCCAUCCAAAGAGGCUCCUGGCAUUAAGGUCUCGGGGCAGGAGAUGAGGCUGGCCUGAAAACAACUAUCAAAGCAUUUGGAAGAGAAAGUGGAAAGUACUUUGAUGGAAUGAGUCUACAGAUGAUAAAAAUUGGGGAGCCAUUAUGUUGCAGAUAACUGUGAUCAGUAUUCUGUGAGCUGUCUUGACAUCACUGCAGAACUGAUGAAGUGAGUUCUUCCCUCCACCCCCUUCUGGCCACUGGA